RNAcentral lists this long non-coding RNA (400 nucleotides) under Homo sapiens (human). RNAcentral describes it as "non-protein coding lnc-PTPRT-2:1". The record is from RNAcentral. Lineage: Eukaryota; Metazoa; Chordata; Mammalia; Primates; Hominidae.
GAUGCAGCCCUUUAGAGAGGACUCCCAGAAAUGACAGCGGGGAGCGAGAACUCCAGACUGUGAUUUGGGUGGAGACCAAGUGCUUCCUUGUAGAUCCCCCGCCUGGCGCGUUGCAUGAGCAUUUAUCUAUCGGGCCGCCCACGCAGAUGAAGCAGCGAGUCACUACUCCUUCGGAAACACCACUACAGGAUGUCUGGAAGGAAAUCUACUUCCCUCACAGAGGGAAAUUGCCAAUAAUCAGUGUUGCUGAGAACACGAGUAGCUUCAUGGGCCCCAAAUGAAAGACUGAAUCCCAAGUGUUCCUUCCAAGUGCUGGGGGGUGAAUCAGUAACAAGGUGCCAAGAUUGUAAGGCCCCCCUCCUUGGGCAGAAUGCCUCUCCAUCCACAAAUAGAAACUUGC